UACGUAGGGGGCAAGCGUUGUCCGGAUUUAUUGGGCGUAAAGAGCGUGUAGGCGGCCAUACAGGUCCGUUGUGAAAACUGGAGGCUUAACCUCCAGACGUCGAUGGAAACCGUAUGGCUAGAGUCCGGAAGAGGAGAGUGGAAUUCCUGGUGUAACGGUGAAAUGUGUUGAUAUCAGGAGGAACACCCAUGGCGAAGGCAGCAAACUGGGCAUCAACUGACGCUGAGGCGCGAAAGCGUGGGUAGCAAACAGG
This 253-nucleotide ribosomal RNA is filed under the name uncultured bacterium. RNAcentral describes it as "partial 16S ribosomal RNA". It matches the Rfam family "Bacterial small subunit ribosomal RNA", at positions 524 to 776 of the family's 1533-position model. The record is from RNAcentral.